Molecule: ribosomal RNA, 449 nt
Filed under: uncultured Leptolinea sp.
Lineage: Bacteria; Bacillati; Chloroflexota; Anaerolineae; Anaerolineales; Anaerolineaceae
Description: bacterial SSU rRNA
Rfam family: Bacterial small subunit ribosomal RNA
Source: RNAcentral
CCCGCACAAGCAGCGGAGCGUGUGGUUUAAUUCGAUGUUACACGAAGAACCUUACCAGGGUUUGACAUGCAAGUGGUAGGAAGCCGAAAGGUGACCGACCCUUCGGGGAGCUUGCACAGGUGCUGCAUGGCUGUCGUCAGCUCGUGUCGUGAGAUGUUCGGUUAAGUCCGCUAACGAGCGCAACCCUCGCUGUGUGUUAUAUGUGUCACACGGGACUGCCGGUCUUAAGCCGGAGGAAGGUGGGGAUGAUGUCAAGUCAGCAUGGCCUUUAUAUCCUGGGCUACACACACGCUACAAUGGCCAACACAAUAGGUUGCUAAGCCGCGAGGUGGCGCCAAUCCAUAAAGUUGGUCUCAGUUCAGAUUGUAGGCUGCAACCCGCCUGCAUGAAGAUGGAGUUGCUAGUAACCGCAGGUCAGCUAUACUGCGGUGAAUACGUUCCCGGGGCUU